This 636-nucleotide ribosomal RNA is filed under the name uncultured Loktanella sp. Its description in RNAcentral is "bacterial SSU rRNA". It matches the Rfam family "Bacterial small subunit ribosomal RNA", at positions 123 to 793 of the family's 1533-position model. Lineage: Bacteria; Pseudomonadati; Pseudomonadota; Alphaproteobacteria; Rhodobacterales; Roseobacteraceae. The record is from RNAcentral.
AACGUACCCUUUUCUACGGAAUAGCCUCGGGAAACUGAGAGUAAUACCGUAUACGCCCUUCGGGGGAAAGAUUUAUCGGAGAAGGAUCGGCCCGCGUAAGAUUAGAUAGUUGGUGGGGUAAUGGCCUACCAAGUCUACGAUCUUUAGCUGGUUUGAGAGGAUGAUCAGCAACACUGGGACUGAGACACGGCCCAGACUCCUACGGGAGGCAGCAGUGGGGAAUCCUAGACAAUGGGGGAAACCCUGAUCUAGCCAUGCCGCGUGAGUGACGAAGGCCUUAGGGUCGUAAAGCUCUUUCGCUGGGGAAGAUAAUGACUGUACCCAGUAAAGAAGCCCCGGCUAACUCCGUGCCAGCAGCCGCGGUAAUACGGAGGGGGUUAGCGUUGUUCGGAAUUACUGGGCGUAAAGCGCGCGUAGGCGGACUGGAAAGUUGGGGGUGAAAUCCCGGGGCUCAACCCCGGAACGGCCUCCAAAACUAUCAGUCUAGAGUUCGAGAGAGGUGAGUGGAAUUCCGAGUGUAGAGGCGAAAUUCGUAGAUAUUCGGAGGAACACCAGUGGCGAAGGCGGCUCACUGGCUCGAUACUGACGCUGAGGUGCGAAAGCGCGGGGAGCAAACAGGAUUAGAUACCCUGGUAG